UAGAUUCUUGUUAGGUGAACAUGUGUGAUUAUCUAGAUUCUUUGAGAAUGGAAAACAGUUUAGAUCAAAAUAAUAUAUAAAUCCUUCCAUUCUUUGAUUCGUUUAUGUGUGUCUGUCUUAAGUUGGCUGCAUAACGAGACAUGACCAACGUGAAGAAAUAAAGCACAACCAUUGCCAAACAGGUAAAAUCCACAUUUCUCUUUGAUCUGUUUCGAUUAAGUAAAGUCAUUUGAUUGUUGUUAGGCUCGGUUAAGUGUGUAAUAAAUGUUUAGGUAAGUGGUAGAUUAUGGUUGUGUUAGUAAUAAAUAGAAGUUAUGGUUAGGUGGUGUAGAGUGAUGAAUGAGUCGAUGGUUGUUAGAUAUAUGUCAAGUCCCUCU
This 377-nucleotide long non-coding RNA is filed under the name Brassica napus (rape). Its description in RNAcentral is "long non-coding RNA (BNAP_LNC021666)". Lineage: Eukaryota; Viridiplantae; Streptophyta; Magnoliopsida; Brassicales; Brassicaceae. The record is from RNAcentral.